CAAUAAGCGGAGGAAAAGAAACUAACAAGGAUUCCCCUAGUAACUGCGAGUGAAGCGGGAAAAGCUCAAAUUUAAAAUCUGGCGGUCUCCGGCCGUCCGAGUUGUAAUCUAGAGAAGUGUUAUCCGCGCUGGACCGUGUACAAGUCUCCUGGAAUGGAGCGUCAUAGAGGGUGAGAAUCCCGUCUUUGACACGGACUGCCAGGGCUUUGUGAUGCGCUCUCAAAGAGUCGAGUUGUUUGGGAAUGCAGCUCAAAAUGGGUGGUAAAUUCCAUCUAAAGCUAAAUAUUGGCGAGAGACCGAUAGCGAACAAGUACCGUGAGGGAAAGAUGAAAAGAACUUUGGAAAGAGAGUUAAACAGUACGUGAAAUUGCUGAAAGGGAAACGCUUGAAGUCAGUCGCGUUGGCUGGGGAUCAACCUUGCUUUUGCUGGGUGUACUUUCCGGUCGACGGGUCAGCAUCAAUUUUGACCGUUGGAUAAAGUUCAGGGGAAUGUGGCAUCUUCGGAUGUGUUAUAGCCCUUGGUCGCAUACAACGAUUGGGAUUGAGGAACUCAGCACGCCGCAAGGCCGGGUACUUGUACCACGUUCGUGCUUAGGAUGCUGGCAUAAUGGCUUUAAUCGACCCGUCUUGAAACACGGACCAAGGAGUCUAACAUGCCUGCGAGUGUUUGGGUGGAAAACCCGGGCGCGUAAUGAAAGUGAAAGUUGAGAUCCCUGUCGCGGGGAGCAUCGACGCCCGGACCAGACCUUUUGUGACGGAUCCGCGGUAGAGCAUGUAUGUUGGGACCCGAAAGAUGGUGAACUAUGCCUGAAUAGGGUGAAGCCAGAGGAAACUCUGGUGGAGGCUCGUAGCGAUUCUGACGUGCAAAUCGAUCGUCAAAUUUGGGUAUAGGGGCGAAAGACUAAUCGAACCAUCUAGUAGCUGGUUCCUGC
This 932-nucleotide non-coding RNA is filed under the name Alnicola citrinella. Its description in RNAcentral is "partial 28S ribosomal RNA". It matches the Rfam family "Eukaryotic large subunit ribosomal RNA", at positions 44 to 961 of the family's 3401-position model. Lineage: Eukaryota; Fungi; Basidiomycota; Agaricomycetes; Agaricales; Hymenogastraceae. The record is from RNAcentral.